RNAcentral lists this ribosomal RNA (497 nucleotides) under uncultured bacterium. Its description in RNAcentral is "partial 16S ribosomal RNA". It matches the Rfam family "Bacterial small subunit ribosomal RNA", at positions 28 to 507 of the family's 1533-position model. The record is from RNAcentral.
GACGAACGCUGGCGGCGUGCCUAAUACAUGCAAGUAGAACGCUGAAGAGAGGAGCUUGCUCUUCUUGGAUGAGUUGCGAACGGGUGAGUAACGCGUAGGUAACCUGCCUUGUAGCGGGGGAUAACUAUUGGAAACGAUAGCUAAUACCGCAUAACAAUGGAUGACACAUGUCAUUUAUUUGAAAGGGGCAAUUGCUCCACUACAAGAUGGACCUGCGUUGUAUUAGCUAGUAGGUGAGGUAAUGGCUCACCUAGGCGACGAUACAUAGCUGACCUGAGAGGGUGAUCGGCCACACUGGGACUGAGACACGGCCCAGACUCCUACGGGAGGCAGCAGUAGGGAAUCUUCGGCAAUGGGGGCAACCCUGACCGAGCAACGCCGCGUGAGUGAAGAAGGUUUUCGGAUCGUAAAGCUCUGUUGUAAGUCAAGAACGGGUGUGAGAGUGGAAAGUUCACACUGUGACGGUAGCUUACCAGAAAGGGACGGCUAACUACGUG